UCAAUUUCAUUUAUUUAUAAUAUAAUUUUAAAUAUAAGAUUAGAGUGAAUAAGAAAAGGCUACCUGAAGAAUUGCAAUAAAUAAUUUCAAUGUUGACCCUAGAAAUCUUUUUGCAUAAGUGCAGAUUUCAAACAGUGCCAAAUAAUUGGAUUAAGUAUGUAAUGACUACAAAUGUUGUUAAUUAAUAUAGUUAAUUAGCUAUCAUAACAAGCCAGGUUAGCUACUGUACAUUAUUAGGCUCCUGUUUUUCCAUCUGCCACUUUCACCUUGUUUGAUGUAAGUUGUAAUGUCCAGAGAAGCCGUAAGCAUGUGGCUCCGCUUGACGUUCUUUGCAUCGAGUUGUGUCAAGUGGUCGAAACACAAAGAACAGUGACUUGUACAGCUUUUAAUAGCCUAUCCUGAUGGACAUUUACAAUGCCUAGAGAGCUAGUGGAGCAGCAGCUAAAGCCAUCAGGGCUGAGGCGAGACUGCCGUCCCCCCCACAGCCUUCAACCUCAAACACAAACGACAUCUCUGACAGGAGCAAUGAAAAACAGCUGGGAGAAAGAAGGCCAGAGAAAAAGCAAAUGCCUUUUAGCUGCACUGGCCAUUCAUCUUUCCCGUUCCCUCCUCCUUCCUUCUGGUCUACCACAGCCUUUAAGAUUCACGCUCGUCACCAUCCAAAAUGCAGCAUCGUCAUAAUGGCAGGAAUGUGGAGAACAUCCAUUCAUGCCUAAGCCUGCUGCCAUUCUCUGGGAGCGCUGCUUGGCUUUCACUUAAAUGGUGCAGAAAACAAGAAGCAUUACUUAAACCCAUUAUGUAAAACUCAAAACACCAGGUCUGGCGAUUAAAGUGGUAAAUGAGAGUUUGUUUAUGGCUGGGGCUCUGUGCUGAACAAGGUCCAAAGCUUCAGGUGGAGCUGGCAGGCUGGGCAAGGUUUCCUCCAUUCCAGAGCGUCGUGUGGGCACGAGCACCUGGCAGAGCUGCCAGAUGUGGUAGCAGCCUCUCCUAAUCGCUUAUAAAAGAUGAAUAAUUAAAUAACACAUAGGACAGAGGUAAAGUAUUCCAAUGAAAUCCAUCAUAACUAUUAGCUAUGGUGCAGAAACAGUAGUUUUCUUUCUUCCUUUAGGAACAAUACACAUUAAUCAACAUCUGUAUUAGUGAUAUCUGUAUUAUCAACAUCUGCUGUACCUUGAUAGAUUGAUGUUUCAUUUAAAAAAAGAACAAAUAGGAAAAAAAAUAUACUAAGCACACUAAAAUCACAUCACACACCACGGUAAAGACCCAAUUUAUUUGAGCAUUAUAAACAUGCUAUAUAACUAAAUAUCAUAUUGUCACUUCUAAUUUUCCAGCAUUUUUAUUAUAUAUGUUUUUUUGUAGAAUAAACCAAUGGUUUUCAAAUCUCUUAAAUAACUAGGAAGUUCAGCUCACUCGUGUGAUUCGCAGUGCAGAUUGGUUAAAAAUACUUUUCUUUACUAGCACUGCACAAUCACUUCUCAAUCAAAUUCUCUAAAUGCUGGAGAAGCAAGAACAAACUUGGAUUUUAAAUAAUAAUUCAACACAUGAGAAAUUCAUUAGUCUAAAAAUCCAUACUACUAUGGUUCUACAUAAGCAAUUUACAUCCAACCAAACUGCUUGGACAUAAAAUUACCUCUCAACAUCAUAUUUUGAACACAUGGACCCUAGGCUUUGUUAAAAAGUUUCACAGAACUCAAUAAUUAUUGAUUGUAACCACAAGACUGACCAAACUAUUAUGGUAAAAUUGUGUAUUUUGUUGUUGUAAAAAAGCCAGAGAUGGUCGUUAUGCUGUCUCUGACAUACUGUACUUAUCAGUGUGAACAUCUUGAACUAUAUGGCGUCUGCUGAUAAUACAGUGUGGGUUGUGACCACAUAAGGGUGUGAGAAGGUGUUAUCUGAGUGUAGGAUUGGGAGUCCUCCCUGGUGAACAAAGCUGUAAGUGUAAUACUCCAUCCAACCUUUAAAUACACAGACAUGAAUCCACAUUAACAGAAUUCUGAAGUUCUGAAAAACUGCAAACAUUACCUGUUUCUUUGUUUUUCUGCGAUUUUGAUUUGCUGUUGUUUUGUCUUACUUGCUGCUGUGUUAUCUGAUUUGCUGGCUUUUGAUUUUCUGUUAUUACUUUUGCUGAUGUGUUCUUGGUUUUGCUGUGGCGCUUUAGAUGAAUCGCAGUGUUUGAUUUGUUGUUGUGUUUCCAGAUUUCCAGUAAAGCACACCUGCAAUUUUGUUUAAAAUGAGAUCAGCGCCAUCAAUGUGAGUAAUUCUCCAAAAGCGAGCCUGUGCGGGUCCGUCCCCUUAUAGAAACUUGAAUGUUGUUAUUUUUGGCUGCUGCGAUCAAUCUUACAAUAUCCUGGUAGACUUUGAAAUGGGGGGCCGAUAUAAUGAGACACGGCCAGCCCCCCCCAACGAGCUUACCACUCCUGCCAAGUCUGAUGGCUUUCUAAUAGCAACACUGAGCUUUUCAUUCUUCUCAAGUAAGUUUCUCUCUCUCUCUCUCUCUCUCUCUCUCUCUCUCUCUCUCUCUCUCACUCUCCCCCAACUCUCUGUCUCUCUCUCUCUCUCUCUCUCUUUCUCCCUCUCUAAGUGGUUUCAGAUUCUGAGUCCUGUCUGGGGCACAAUCUUAAUCAGGUUUGCCAUGAUGAAGGAGAGAAGUCUAGUUUACACUGCGAAUGCUUG
Ictalurus punctatus (channel catfish) is the source of this 2673-nucleotide long non-coding RNA. NCBI's taxonomy places the organism in Eukaryota, Metazoa, Chordata, Actinopteri, Siluriformes, Ictaluridae. The record is from Ensembl.